Long non-coding RNA from Ailuropoda melanoleuca (giant panda), 869 nucleotides. RefSeq lists it as uncharacterized. The record is from RefSeq and is a predicted model, not a curated record. The transcript has 3 exons. NCBI's taxonomy places the organism in Eukaryota, Metazoa, Chordata, Mammalia, Carnivora, Ursidae.
CUGGAUAGGAAUAAGCAGGGGCAAGAAAGGAGUUUCGACUCAAACCUGUUCCUACGGGCCUCUCGCAAAGGAAAGGCAGAGUGCCGAGGCCUCGAGCCAAACUCCAGGCCGCCCAGGACUCCAGUGCUUGAGCUCUGGAGGCCAGAGGUCCAAAGUGAAGGCGUUAGCAGGGUCGGGACUCCCUCCGAAGGCUUUAGGGGAGAAGCCUUCCUUGCUUCUUCCAGCUUCUGGUGGCUCCAGAAGAAUCAGAGGAGAGCCAGAGAGACAGCCAACCUUCCCCUUCUGGGUGCUCAGAGCAUACCUUGCACAUUGGGUGAUGGAAGAAAGCCACAAGCUGAACGUGUAGCAGAGCUGCUGACCAACACAGGCAAGUUUAAAUGGGAGUGUGCAUGGCCAGACUUAAGUUUAAGACGGUUAACAUCAGGUCUUUCAACUUCACAUAGUAAUAAAACCCAGCAACAACACAGCAUCAAUCAACUAAAUAAGGAGCGUGCACUCACCCCUGGGGGAGCCCUGCAGACAGAUUCCACUUCCAAGUUGAAAGGAUGGUUGGAAACGCCUCCUCCACCUCGAGCCCUCUGCUCUGCAAGCACUUUGCAAUUUUCUUUCUUUCCUGAAAGUAUUUUAGCCCCGAUACAAAUAGGCUGACUUCUCUGCAUAACCUAGCUCACUUGUCUACCACAGAGUUAGUAAGUCUCAUUGUUUCAAAGUCCUUUGCGUUUGAUUUUUAAACUCCCUGACAACUCUAUCUGGUUUUAAUUAACUUCUUUGAAUUCAGUUAUUUUAGACUCAAAAGUGUGCCUGGAUAAAAAUUAGCAUUAUCAGUGUGUGUGAGAGUGCGUUUUAAACCUGCGGUAAGCUUUCUCCUU